Molecule: ribosomal RNA, 381 nt
Filed under: uncultured marine Chaetocerotaceae
Lineage: Eukaryota; Bacillariophyta; Thalassiosirophyceae; Chaetocerotales; Chaetocerotaceae
Description: SSU rRNA
Rfam family: Eukaryotic small subunit ribosomal RNA
Source: RNAcentral
AGCUCCAAUAGCGUAUAUUAAAGUUGCUGCAGUUAAAAAGCUCGUAGUUGCAUUUCCGAGGCAAGGGAUUAGUCCGACCUUUGGUGGGUAUUUAAUCCUCUUGCCUCGUCCUUGAGUGGUGCUUCUUGGUAUUAAGUUAUCGAGGAGAUAGCCGCUCAUCGUUUACUGUGAGAAAAUUAGAGUGUUCAAAGCAGGCUUAUGCCGUUGAAUAUAUUAGCAUGGAAUAAUAAGAUAGGACCUCGGUACUAUUUUGUUGGUUUGAGAACCAAGGUAAUGAUGAAUAGGGACAGUUGGGGGUAUGCGUAUUCAGUUGUCAGAGGUGAAAUUCUUAGAUUUACGGAAGACGAACUACUGCGAAAGCAUUUACCAAGGAUGGUUUCA